UAAAUGCACAUUUUCAGAUGCUUUGAAUUUGAAUGAAUGACUUAAAAUGAAUUUUAAGUCAUUUUUUUAAAAACAGAGAUCUGUUCAUUUGUCUGUUUAUGAGCAUCAUGACCUUAUAUUUCCAGGAUUCCCAAGCUAAACACCUGGCCGAGGAGGGACCACAUUAUUUUUGCAUUGCUCUUUCAGAAUGGUUUUCUCCAGUGUGCUUUAUAAGCAUAUACAGUGUGCGGCUCCCUGCUGUGGAAAUGAUUGGUUUAUAGUGUAGUCUUCCACACUUCAUGUUUCUCCCUCUCUGAAAUGAUGCUUCAGUCAGUCCCAGAGGAUUCAUUCAGCAGUGGGUCAUUGAACAUGACCGCUGAGCCCUGAAUGCUCUACUUAACCUUCUGCUGUUCUGUCAUGGAUGUAAUCACACAAAAACAACAUCAUAUCAUUUUACAUUCAACAUUUUUUUCAGUUGCCAUGUGUAUUUUAUGUAGUUUACAGCCACUGUGUAUUUAACAACAUUGGUAAUCUAUUAAUGAAGCUCUGGAAUAACAGGCACAAUCCUGUUUUGCAUUUUAAUAGACGUUAGGUGAAAAUCUGUUGCUCUUUUGCAUUUUAAACAUUACGUAUCGUUCAAGGCAAAUGAACUGGAUCCAGAUCUUAUCUCAUUCUCUAUUAGGCAGGCAGAUUGAACCAGAAUGCAACGAGAAAAAUAGUAAAAUAGUGAUACACACGACAAUAGUGAGGAUUUUGAUCCACCCAACGAUUCGAAUCUUUAGAUCUAUAGGUCACGUCGUUACGCCAGUAGGUGGCGACUCACCUGAGCGAGUCAUUGAAUCAAUUGAACCGCUUCCUUGUACUGACUCAUAUUACUCGUUCGCUGAAGAUUGUCUUUUAAAACGCGUGACUUGUGCCUUUAAAAAUUAGAAACAGAAGACUGAACGAAUAGUGACCACUUCAGUAAACGUUUUUUUUCUUAAUCUGACUGAGCCUGCCUGAACGAAAAUCGUUGUGAACGAAAACCAAACAGAAGGAGCUGUUUUUUCAGACCAGAUCAACUGUUCCUGAUUGACUGAAAGCGAUAAGCAGCAACUUGUUACGAAUCAUUAUACGAAUAUUGUUCACAACAAGGAGAGAAAGGGGGUUAAAGUAGUAGGCAUAUUGUGUAAAAACGACUAAUAAAAAAUGGCGUUAGACCAUGAAAUUUGUAUAAACGCAAAUCUGACGCUGACUCGCUCAUAAAUUAACGAUUAAAACACGCAGAAAAACAGCAAUAUGCGAUGUUCAAAGGCGUAUGUCUAGUGCAUGAUUAAAUAUAAUGAUUAAAAAGAAGGGGGAGAUUAAAUAGAAAAAAAAUUAAAAAGCGCAAUUGAACACAAAGCACUGUGAACCUACAGAAAUUACAGAAUGAAUCUUUUUAAACGGAUUCAAUAAAACGAUUUGCUGGUGUGAAUCAACCUGCCCACCAUCAUAGCAAUGUUUAGUCAGUCAUACACACAUUACUACUCGCACACACAUACACACGCGCGUUUUUAAAUCACAAAAUGUCCAACCUCAUUGGCCAGCGUCUCACGCUCUGCUCGCGUUCAACCAAUUUGCAGCGCACGACACUGGAAAGUGGGCAGAGCGUUUUCACGCGCACAUUAUUCUUCUCGCAGGAAGAGCGGCUUUCAAGCGAGGGGGGGUUCUUUCUUACAGAAAAGAGAGAGAGAAAGAGAGAAAGACAACACUGUGUCCCAACACUGACCCGUUACCAACACUCCUCACUACCAUAAAUAUUGAUAAGUGACAGCCAUAUCAUUAAUAUCGGUGUGCUAGGGGUGUAAAACGACUCCAAAACACUUGAAGCGGCACUUGACUCUCAUCCGCUAACCGCCGCUGCUCAGUUACAACAACAUCUCAAAACGCCAAAUCUCUGAUGUUGUAGAGAAGGAUUUCAGGCUGUCCCUUCAGAGCGGCCCGUUUCUGACCGUGCCAGCAGUGAUUAAUGGGGGCACGGGCUACGCAGUAUAAAACUGGAUUUACAUGGAAGCUUAUGGCACACAAGUGGAUUAGCUGGCUUUAGAGGUGAACGGACGUAAUUGAUUCUGAUGUGUUUUUUUGCCAAACAGCAGUGGAAAAAACAGUUUGACCAGGGUGGGUGGUGAGAUGGUCGCAUACACGAUUAUGACUGAACCGGACUCUGCUAGUGACAGCUGUGUGGGCUCCGAACAAAUAGCUGCCUUCUUUUCUGAGCAUGAGCCCUGCCCCCUUCCUUUACAGACAGUGUCACAUCUGUAGCACUGGGGGGUGGCAGGGCCUUUCAGCUGUCACGAUGCCGUUCAACCGAGGAUCCUCUUGGGGCUCGGAGAUUAAUGCAUUUAUUUAUCUCUUUAUCUUAAUCAGUGAUAUUAAGAGGGGAAGGUAAUUAAUUGGCUCUGACUCUA
Molecule: long non-coding RNA, 2408 nt
Organism: Megalobrama amblycephala (Wuchang bream)
Lineage: Eukaryota; Metazoa; Chordata; Actinopteri; Cypriniformes; Xenocyprididae
Exons: 3
Source: RefSeq, a predicted model, not a curated record